Cercocebus atys (sooty mangabey) is the source of this 2561-nucleotide RNA transcript. It is a transcript of the gene named myotubularin related protein 14, with no coding region annotated. Lineage: Eukaryota; Metazoa; Chordata; Mammalia; Primates; Cercopithecidae. The record is from RefSeq and is a predicted model, not a curated record. The transcript is spliced from 20 exons.
CCGGCGGGACGGGGCGGGGCCGGAAGUGGAGGUAGAAGGCGGUGGCUGAGGCGGUUCCGGAGGUUCUGGUGUCGGAGUUGGUGCAGGCAGGUGCUAUGGGCCGGCUUGAGGCACUCUGAGGGGACGCGGGGCUGGGCCAUGGCCGGCGCUCGGGCCGCCGCCGCCACCGCCUCGGCGGGGUCCUCGGCCUCUUCGGGCAACCCGCCGCCACAGGAGCCGGGGCUUGGGGAGCUGCUGGAGGAGUUCUCCCGGACUCAGUACCGGGCCAAGGACGGCAGCGGGACCGGCGGCUCUAAGGUUGAACGCAUUGAGAAGAGAUGUCUGGAGCUGUUUGGCCGAGACUACUGUUUCAGCGUGAUUCCAAACACGAACGGGGAUAUCUGCGGCCACUAUCCCCGGCACAUCGUGUUCCUGGAGUAUGAGAGUUCUGAGAAGGAGAAAGACACGUUUGAGAGUACCGUACAGGUGAGCAAGUUGCAAGACCUCAUCCACCGCAGCAAGAUGGCCCGGUGCAGAGGACGGUUUGUCUGCCCAGUAAUCCUGUUCAAGGGCAAGCACAUUUGCAGGUCGGCCACACUGGCUGGAUGGGGAGAGCUGUAUGGACGCUCAGGCUACAACUAUUUUUUCUCAGGGGGUGCAGAUGAUGCCUGGGCAGAUGUGGAGGACGUCACGGAGGAGGACUGUGCUCUUCGAAGUGGUGACACACAUCUUUUUGAUAAGGUCAGAGGCUAUGACAUCAAGCUGCUUCGAUACCUGUCAGUCAAAUACAUCUGUGACCUGAUGGUGGAGAACAAGAAGGUGAAGUUUGGCAUGAAUGUAACCUCCUCUGAGAAGGUGGACAAAGCCCAGCGCUAUGCCGACUUCACUCUCCUCUCCAUCCCAUAUCCAGGCUGUGAAUUUUUCAAGGAAUAUAAAGAUCGGGAUUACAUGGCAGAAGGGCUCAUAUUUAACUGGAAGCAGGACUACGUUGAUGCCCCACUGAGCAUCCCUGACUUCCUGACUCACUCUCUGAACAUUGACUGGAGCCAGUAUCAGUGUUGGGACCUGGUGCAACAAACACAAAACUACCUGAAGCUGCUGCUUUCCUUAGUUAACAGCGAUGAUGACAGCGGGCUGCUGGUACACUGUAUCUCAGGCUGGGAUCGGACCCCCCUCUUCAUCUCCCUCCUGCGCCUUUCCUUAUGGGCUGAUGGGCUCAUCCACACGUCCCUGAAGCCCGCUGAGAUCCUCUACCUCACUGUGGCCUAUGACUGGUUCCUCUUUGGGCACAUGUUGGUAGAUCGGCUCAGCAAAGGGGAGGAGAUUUUCUUCUUCUGCUUCAAUUUUUUGAAGCAUAUUACCUCCGAGGAGUUCUCUGCUCUGAAGACCCAGAGGAGGAAGAGUUUGCCAGCCCGGGAUGGAGGCUUCACCCUGGAAGACAUCUGCAUGCUGAGACGAAAGGACCGUGGCAGCACCACCAGCCUUGGCAGCGACUUCUCCCUGGUCAUGGAGAAUUCCCCAGGAGCCACUGGGAGCUUCACCUAUGAGGCCGUGGAGUUGGUCCCAGCAGGAGCGCCGACUCAGGCAGCUUGGAGGAAGAGCCACUCAUCCUCUCCACAGAGUGUCCUCUGGAACCGGCCACAACCCUCAGAGGACCGCUUGCCUUCCCACCAGGGGCUGGUGGAAGCCAGGUCUUCCAGCUCCUCAUCCUCAAACCAUUCUGAUAACUUUUUCAGGAUGGGUAGCAGUCCCCUGGAGGUCCCCAAACCCAGAUCAGUGGACCAUCCCCUGCCCGGAUCCUCUCUCUCCACAGACUAUGGCAGCUGGCAGAUGGUAACGGGCUGUGGCAGUAUUCAGGAGCGGGCUGUCCUGCACACAGACUCCUCUCUCCCUUUCAGCUUCCCGGAUGAGCUCCCUAACAGUUGUCUCCUCUAAAAACCAUCCACUGGUGUCUCAGGUGCACCCAGAGGGAAAGCUGCUGGACUGUAACUAUAGAAGAUUCUAUUUCUGUAUCAGCCUUUGCCUGACAUGAGAAUCGUUUGAAGGCAGAACAGUAGGAUAGUGAAGGUAGGUGUAUGGUGGAGGCCAGAGCCAGAGUGGUGCUGGGUUAGCCCAAAGCUGUGCUCCUGAGCAGAAUCUAGGAUGACUUGCCGUCUCUACCCGCCUUGUCUUCUGUUUUUGCCUCUGGGCAGGAAUAAGAAUUGGAUGGGGAUUCUAGAUCCCACACCUACAAAACCCUGAGUUUCCAGCCCCUACAAUGUGUCCACCUGACUGGAGCAGCUGCCUCUGGGGAAACCACCUGCCCCUGGCCUGUUCUGCCGCUUCAUGGAUGUCAGGCAGGAGAAAGCCUCCGGUGGCCGGGGGAGCAAGACCUGCUCCUCAGCUGUGGUGCCUGAGGGCCCCUCAGCAAGCCUUCCCUUCACCUCCAUACCAUGGGCUGGAUGAAUGGCACAUGCUGGGGCCUCACCGCCAGCAUCGCAAUCCAGCUUAUCCCCACCCAUGUUGGUGGGUUGGAGGCUUGCAGCCCUGAGUGAUCGAGAGACUCGGCUGCAGGAGGUGCGCUCAGCCUUCUUGGCUGCGUA